UAUUAUUAUUAUUAUUAUUAUUACUAUUAUUAUUAUUUCAAUUUUUUUUUAUAUCAACACUUUAAUUAUUGAAUUUGUUGGGUCCUUUUUGGAUGAACAUGAUUUGAGCAUUGUGCAUUUAAUCUUUGAAUAUUGAGAGCGAGUUGGUCCUGUAGAAGUAUUAAAGAACCUAACCAAAGCUGUCUGCUGGUUCUGAACCAAAGGUGGGCCAUUAUGGGCCGGGGCAGCCUUGUGAUUGGUGAUUACUUGAUGUUUCUUUAGUGGGCUCGCACAAAUUUCUAGUUGAAGUUUCAAUUAUGCAGCUCCUUCCUAACCAAUUCGGCCACAUCAUCUUUUUUAUCUUUUAUGAAAUAGGCCUUCUCACAUUCCUUAGGCUUGCAAGUUCAAAUGCAAUGCACAACACAGUAGUAUCAAUUUAUUCAAUGAAGAAAGAUUAUGAGCCAAUCAAGUAAAUGGGCAACUUCAGAAAAGACAUACAAAUAUGGGCAACUUGGGGGAGAAAAUCCAGCUAUCAUCAAAUGGAAUUGAAAUUUUCUGUGUGGAAUAAUGACUUACAGAUGAAUCAGUCAAGCACGUAGAUUCGAGAGGCGAUGUCCUGAACCAACCAAUCAAAUCCCUCGAGCAGCCCCUCCCCUGUGUAUGCACUACAGCCCAUGAUUUUCCAAUGUCGCGUUUUGUCCAUAUUCUCCAGAUUUAAUACCUUAGCAAUUUCCUCUUGAGUAAGAGCACCUUUUAGGUCUUGCUUAUUUGCUAGUAUUAGCAAGGAUGCUCCAGACAGCCUCUCUUCCUUCAAAAGAUUAUCAAGUUCCAUUUUGCAAUCAUCCAACCUUCGAAGAUCCAAACUGUCAACUACCCAAACUAAGCCGUCAGUUUGCUCAAAGUAGUUCCUCCAAUAAGAUCUUAUAGUUCUUUGGCCCCCAACAUCCCAUAUAUUUAAGGUAUACUUUUGGUAAGUGGUGGUUUUGAUAUUAAAACCAAGUGUAGGACUGAUAACACUAGUAUCUUCCCCGUUUAUCUUCAAAACAAUUGUUGUCUUUCCAGAAUUAUCAAGGCCCACCAUCAAUAUACGCAUUUCCUUCUCUUUUCGCUUGAUUUUUCGGAUGAUGCUGAGGAGCCCCAUUAUUAGGCAAAAACAAGCUAAUCAACGAGCAAGAAAUGAGGGUUUCUUCUGAUUCUUAAUAAUUUGUCCUUGCGUAAUGAUUUAGCACAAACAACUAAACCUACCAGCAAAAGCAAUACUGUUUCAAAAAACAAUGCCAUUAUCGCUUACAAAUUCAGCCACUUAUCAGAAUAAGCUAUUGAAAGCAACAAAUUUCACCAUGACCUAUGCAGAAAUAAAUUGAACUCAUAUGAUUAUUUUGAAUGUGAUUUCGCUUAAUUGCAAGUGCGUGGAAGGUCUCCUUCCACCUGAAAGUCCCGAUUCUCUAUAUUGAUAACCAAAAAUGGUUUGCAAGACUCCUGAUUGCAUCAAAUUAUAUAGACAUUUAAGGUUAACAUGCAUUGCAUUUUGUUAGCAUUUAGUAUCAUUUUAUUUAUAUUUUUAUAUGUUUUCAUUCUUAUUUUAGAAAACAUGUUAAUUCAACUCAAUUCAUUGAUUUUUAUAAUUUAUCAGGUGUUUUUAUGUUAUUCUAGAAUCAAAGACGAGUUUAGAAGAGAUUUUAGAGGUCAAAACGUGAAUAAUACAAUGCCAAAAAUAUUACACGGGCCGUGUAACUUGUCCCGUGUAACUUCCUGGACCCUGUGCAACCUUCUGGACAAAGAAAACUUGAAAAACAAGAGUGGCAGAAAGUUACACGGGGCAGGGGCUUGUAACACUACACGGGCCAUGUAAAUUCCCUUGACAGCAAUUCUGAUGCGACUUUUCUUCACUCCAACUCGACCCGGAUGGACUCCUAAUGCUUCUAGGACUAUGAAAUUAGGGUUUUUACACUAGAUAUAAAUAAAACAAGUCAGGAAUUGAGGGAGUGGAGAGAAUUUACAUCCAAAGAGGAGAAUUAACAUUCAAGAGCCGAUUUACAUUCAAGGAGGCACAUCAACCUCAAGGGAGGCAAGGGAGAAACAAGAUCUGCAAGAUUGCUAGAAGGGAUUUUCAGCUGAAGUUCCAAAAGUCCAAGGCUGCAAUUCUCUUUCUGAGUUCUUUCACUCUAUUUUCUUCUCAUGUCUUCUCUUUAUCUUUUUAUAAACUUGAUUGUAAAGCUCACC
RNAcentral lists this unclassified non-coding RNA (2202 nucleotides) under Hevea brasiliensis (rubber tree). The record is from RNAcentral. Lineage: Eukaryota; Viridiplantae; Streptophyta; Magnoliopsida; Malpighiales; Euphorbiaceae.